RNAcentral lists this ribosomal RNA (253 nucleotides) under uncultured bacterium. RNAcentral's name for it is "partial 16S ribosomal RNA". It matches the Rfam family "Bacterial small subunit ribosomal RNA", at positions 524 to 776 of the family's 1533-position model. The record is from RNAcentral.
UACGUAGGGGGCAAGCGUUGUCCGGAAUCAUUGGGCGUAAAGCGCGUGUAGGCGGCCCGAUAAGUCCGCUGUGAAAGUCCAGGGCUCAACCCUGGGAUGCCGGUGGAUACUGUCGGGCUCGAGUCCGGAAGAGGCGAGUGGAAUUCCUGGUGUAGCGGUGAAAUGCGCAGAUAUCAGGAGGAACACCAAUGGCGAAGGCAGCUCGCUGGGACGUGACUGACGCUGAGGUGCGAAAGCGUGGGGAGCAAACAGG